RNAcentral lists this ribosomal RNA (1237 nucleotides) under Escherichia coli 6-319-05_S1_C3. RNAcentral's name for it is "bacterial LSU rRNA". It matches the Rfam family "Bacterial large subunit ribosomal RNA", at positions 1 to 1279 of the family's 2925-position model. Lineage: Bacteria; Pseudomonadati; Pseudomonadota; Gammaproteobacteria; Enterobacterales; Enterobacteriaceae. The record is from RNAcentral.
UUAAGCGACUAAGCGUACACGGUGGAUGCCCUGGCAGUCAGAGGCGAUGAAGGACGUGCUAAUCUGCGAUAAGCGUCGGUAAGGUGAUAUGAACCGUUAUAACCGGCGAUUUCCGAAUGGGGAAACCCAGUGUGAUUCGUCACACUAUCAUUAACUGAAUCCAUAGGUUAAUGAGGCGAACCGGGGGAACUGAAACAUCUAAGUACCCCGAGGAAAAGAAAUCAACCGAGAUUCCCCCAGUAGCGGCGAGCGAACGGGGAGCAGCCCAGAGCCUGAAUCAGUGUGUGUGUUAGUGGAAGCGUCUGGAAAGGCGCGCGAUACAGGGUGACAGCCCCGUACACAAAAAUGCACAUGCUGUGAGCUCGAUGAGUAGGGCGGGACACGUGGUAUCCUGUCUGAAUAUGGGGGGACCAUCCUCCAAGGCUAAAUACUCCUGACUGACCGAUAGUGAACCAGUACCGUGAGGGAAAGGCGAAAAGAACCCCGGCGAGGGGAGUGAAAAAGAACCUGAAACCGUGUACGUACAAGCAGUGGGAGCCUCUUUUAUGGGGUGACUGCGUACCUUUUGUAUAAUGGGUCAGCGACUUAUAUUCUGUAGCAAGGUUAACCGAAUAGGGGAGCCGAAGGGAAACCGAGUCUUAACUGGGCGUUAAGUUGCAGGGUAUAGACCCGAAACCCGGUGAUCUAGCCAUGGGCAGGUUGAAGGUUGGGUAACACUAACUGGAGGACCGAACCGACUAAUGUUGAAAAAUUAGCGGAUGACUUGUGGCUGGGGGUGAAAGGCCAAUCAAACCGGGAGAUAGCUGGUUCUCCCCGAAAGCUAUUUAGGUAGCGCCUCGUGAAUUCAUCUCCGGGGGUAGAGCACUGUUUCGGCAAGGGGGUCAUCCCGACUUACCAACCCGAUGCAAACUGCGAAUACCGGAGAAUGUUAUCACGGGAGACACACGGCGGGUGCUAACGUCCGUCGUGAAGAGGGAAACAACCCAGACCGCCAGCUAAGGUCCCAAAGUCAUGGUUAAGUGGGAAACGAUGUGGGAAGGCCCAGACAGCCAGGAUGUUGGCUUAGAAGCAGCCAUCAUUUAAAGAAAGCGUAAUAGCUCACUGGUCGAGUCGGCCUGCGCGGAAGAUGUAACGGGGCUAAACCAUGCACCGAAGCUGCGGCAGCGACGCUUAUGCGUUGUUGGGUAGGGGAGCGUUCUGUAAGCCUGCGAAGGUGUGCUGUGAGGCAUGCUGGAGG